This 718-nucleotide long non-coding RNA is filed under the name Homo sapiens (human). Its description in RNAcentral is "non-protein coding lnc-SLX1B-3:13". The record is from RNAcentral. Lineage: Eukaryota; Metazoa; Chordata; Mammalia; Primates; Hominidae.
GAAACACCCGCUCACCCUUGCAAAGCCGCAGCAGCAUCCAGGGUCUUGGCCGCUCGUUCUAGUUUAUGGCGAAAGCCAGGUGGAGCCAGGAACAGACUCUGUGCUUCUGAGGCAGCCGGACACAGCUCUUGACGCAGAAGGUUGAUUUUGUUUGGAUCUCUCUUGACCAGACAAGGUAGGGUUAAGUGUGUGAAGGGGGAGAAGGGAAUGCAGACCUCCUGGAACUUGAAACUUCCCAGCCCAGAGCCAGCCAGUGCGUGGAGACGCAGCCCCAACGUGCUGCUGCUGCUGCGGACACCUGGGGCGUGGAGCCAGGGCACGGGGCAGCUGUCCCUCUGCAGCCACACACCACAGGGGAUGGGCACCAGCAGACACGCCUGCUCGCUCCAGGGUGAACCCGUGAGCAACUGUGGUACCUCCACCUGUCCCACAACCUACAACUCAGCAGUACCAAGGGCUGGACGCUGGUGCCACCACACGGGUCCCGCGAAGCCUGCUGCGAAGUGAAGGAAGCCAGACACAAAAGUCUCCAUCCUGCGGGAGUCACUCACAGGACAAUUCUGGAGGACGCAAAGCUGUAGGAGCGAGGAGAGACAGGUGGUGGUUGGGGGCCGGGAAGGGGCCUGACUGCAGAGGGGCAAAAUGUGGGCUGCCUCUGUCGGGGCAGAAGUGCCCCACUCUAGACCCUUACCAAGUCGUCGGCUGUACAUCGAAAACG